GAUGAACGCUGGCGGCGUGCCUAAUACAUGCAAGUCGAGCGAACAGACGAGGAUCUUGCUGCUCUGACGUUAGCGGCGGACGGGUGAGUAACACGUGUAUAACCUCCCUGUCAUACUGGUAUAACUUCGGGAAACCGGAGCUAACACCGUAUAAUAUCUUGAAGCGUAUGGUUCAUUAGUGAAAGUCGGCUUUGCUGUCACUUAUAGAUGCAUCUCCGCUGCUUUAGGUGGUAGUUAAGGUAACGGCUUAUCAAGGCAAGGAGGCGCUGCCGAACUGAGAGGGUGGUCGCCCGCACUGGAGCUGAGACACGGUCAAGACUCCUACGGGAGGCACCAGAAGGGAAUCUGCCGCAGUGGGCGGAAGCAUGACGGAGCAGCGCCGCGUGAGUGAUGACAGUCCUCGGAUCGUAAAACUCUGUUAUUAGGGAAGAACAAAUGUGUAAGUAACUAUGCACGUCUUGACGGUAACUAGUAAGAAAGCAACGGCUAACUACGUG
RNAcentral lists this ribosomal RNA (497 nucleotides) under uncultured bacterium. RNAcentral describes it as "partial 16S ribosomal RNA". It matches the Rfam family "Bacterial small subunit ribosomal RNA", at positions 28 to 507 of the family's 1533-position model. The record is from RNAcentral.